This 561-nucleotide ribosomal RNA is filed under the name uncultured bacterium. RNAcentral describes it as "bacterial SSU rRNA". It matches the Rfam family "Bacterial small subunit ribosomal RNA", at positions 335 to 886 of the family's 1533-position model. The record is from RNAcentral.
ACUCCUACGGGAGGCAGCAGUGGGGAAUCUUCCGCAAUGGACGAAAGUCUGACGGAGCAACGCCGCGUGAGUGAAGAAGGUUUUCGGAUCGUAAAACUCUGUUUUCAGGGACGAAUGUGCACAGUGUAAAUAAUGCUGUGUAAUGACGGUACCUGAGUAGAAAGCCACGGCUAACUACGUGCCAGCAGCCGCGGUAAUACGUAGGUGGCAAGCGUUGUCCGGAAUUAUUGGGCGUAAAGCGCGCGCAGGUGGGAUAUUAAGUCUGGUGUUAAAGUUCGGGGCUCAACCCCGUGAAGCAUUUGGAAACUGAUAUUCUUGAGUGCAGGAGAGGAAAGUGGAAUUCCUAGUGUAGCGGUGAAAUGCGUAGAUAUUAGGAGGAACCCCAGUGGCGAAGGCGACUUUCUGGACUGUGUCUGACACUGAGGCGCGAAAGCCAGGGUAGUGAACGGGAUUAGAUACCCCGGUAAUCCUGGCCGUAAACGAUGGGUACUAGGUGUUGGGGGUAUCGACCCCUCCAGUGCCGGAGUUAACGCAAUAAGUACCCCGCCUGGGGAGUACGGC